ACCCGGUCUGCGAUCGAGGAAGCGGAUUGGUUUUUAACUUUCCGCGGGAGGUGGCGGUGCGUGCCAUACCCAAGGAGGAGGACAAUGAAACGGCAAGUAAUGAAUGUUUCCCCCAAUGGAACAGAAGGAGGGAGAAAGACCAUUCCCCUUCCCGUCAAGUCUUGGGGAGGUGUACAAUGUUCCGUGUGAAAAGAAAGGUGGAGGAAGACGGCGUUUCUGAUCCGCCGGAGGUUUUUAUACGGUAACCAAAAAUAUUCCAAUCGAAUCCUGCUGACAACCCAGCGUUUCCGUGUUGUCCCACGGAACGGAAGCUGUAACGAUCG
Long non-coding RNA from Culex quinquefasciatus (southern house mosquito), 323 nucleotides. RefSeq lists it as uncharacterized. The transcript has 2 exons. The record is from RefSeq and is a predicted model, not a curated record. Lineage: Eukaryota; Metazoa; Arthropoda; Insecta; Diptera; Culicidae.